UUAAAAAGCUCGUAGUUGAAUUUCGGGAUUAGUACGUUGGUCGUGCCUUAGGUACGUACUGGUGUUACUGGUUCCUACCUUCUGACGAACCAUCAUGUCAUUAAUUUGGUGUGGCGGGGAAUCAGGACUGUUACUUUGAAAAAAUUAGAGUGUUUAAAGCAGGCUCGCGCUUGAAUACAUUAGCAUGGAAUAAUGAAAUAGGACGUUGACCCUAUUUUGUUGGUUUCUAGGAUUGACGUAAUGAUUAAUAGGGAUAGUUGGGGG
Molecule: ribosomal RNA, 264 nt
Filed under: uncultured Glomus
Lineage: Eukaryota; Fungi; Glomeromycota; Glomeromycetes; Glomerales; Glomeraceae
Also listed under: 1 other name
Description: partial 18S ribosomal RNA
Rfam family: Eukaryotic small subunit ribosomal RNA
Source: RNAcentral